CAGCUAUUUAAUUUCUGUCUUGAAAAAGUUUGGACGCGUCCAUGUAAUGUGAAGGAAAAAGUCCCACAUCAUCGUUUCAGAAGAAGAAGCAUACAUAUAUAAGAUGAAGCACUGAGUGUAAAGAGCACGACCUUACUUGAACAGGAUCUGUUCUAUAGGCUCGUACCUCUGAAUCCUUGAGUUCUAAGGAGACAGGAAACUAAGUCUGGUGGAUGAUUUACGACCGUGCGAUUAGAGCGUGAUUAAUAGCUACCGUUGAUCUUCGUGAUCUCCUGGUGCAGUAGAUGAUCGUUCUCAUGCUCCUCUGUGAGCUUGAGAUGAUCACACGGUGUUCUGACAGACUCCCUUUUUUUUUGUUUUUUAUUGUAUCUUUAAAUAGUAAAAUCUUUGCAUAAUUGUUAUUUUUUGGCAAUUUUCUGGGUUGAGAGAAGUUUCUAGAGUGAGAAAAAUGAAGGGAAGAUUAGGAGGAGGAAAAACAAUAACAGGAACUCCGUCGAUGGGUUGGUCGUGUGUGGUGGUUGUUUUCUCUCUCCUCGGUGGUGCCUCCAUUGUUCAUAAUCUUUAUAAACCUGACCUUACGUUGCCGCCUAUUGAAGAAGUGAGUAAGAAUAAGCAAAUAGAGAAGCAGUGAUUGCAUCUACAUCAUCUAACUGCACGUCCUCUUGUCGGGCGGCUUUUAGCAUGUUCAACAUGUUCCAUGGAACAGGGCCCCUUAAUUGUGAGGGCCCCAAAAUAGAGAAAGUUCAAGUAGUAAAAAGAAAAAGUUUAUCUACUUAUUUGGACUACUUUUUUCCAAAAUAUGAUUAUGUGAAGUAUGGAUGAGCUAUUACAUUAUUGAAUUCUUCAAAUACGAGAUCGCACAGGGCCUCUAUAUAGUUUGAGACGGGCCUGCUGACUCGAAUAUUAUCUUUGAAAAAUGUACAAUUUAUCAAUGAAAAAUGUAAGUUCGUUCAACUCAGCAAUGAAAAAUGUUAUCAGACUAUUUAUCUUUGAAUAGUGCUAAGAACCUGAUUGGGAUGUACAAUUUUUUUUCUUUUAUAGAAGUAAUUGAGUUUGGUGAAUGUUU
Molecule: long non-coding RNA, 1066 nt
Organism: Beta vulgaris subsp. vulgaris (sugar beet)
Lineage: Eukaryota; Viridiplantae; Streptophyta; Magnoliopsida; Caryophyllales; Amaranthaceae
Exons: 3
Source: RefSeq, a predicted model, not a curated record